AGGUGCGAUCAUACCAACACUAAUGCACCAGAUCCCAUCAGAACUCUGCAGUGAAGCGUGCUUGGGCUAGAGUAGUACUAGGAUGGGUGACCACCUUGGAAGUCCUCGUGUUGCACCUC
Lupinus angustifolius (narrow-leaved blue lupine) is the source of this 119-nucleotide non-coding RNA. NCBI's taxonomy places the organism in Eukaryota, Viridiplantae, Streptophyta, Magnoliopsida, Fabales, Fabaceae. The record is from Rfam.